CCUACGGGAGGCAGCAGUGAGGAAUAUUGGUCAAUGGACGGAAGUCUGAACCAGCCAUGCCGCGUGCAGGAAGACGGCUCUAUGAGUUGUAAACUGCUUUUGUACAAGGGUAAACCUGAAUACGUGUAUUCAGCUGAAAGUACUGUACGAAUAAGGAUCGGCUAACUCCGUGCCAGCAGCCGCAGUAAUACGGAGGAUCCAAGCGUUAUCCGGAUUUAUUGGGUUUAAAGGGUGCGUAGGCGGAUUGAUAAGUUAGAGGUGAAAUGUCCGAGCUUAACUCGGGAACUGCCUCUAAUACUGUUGGUCUAGAGAGUGGAUGCGGUAGGCGGAAUGUAUGGUGUAGCGGUGAAAUGCUUAGAGAUCAUACAGAACACCGAUUGCGAAGGCAGCUUACCAAUCUAUAUCUGACGUUGAGGCACGAAAGCGUGGGGAGCAAACAGGAUUAGAUACCCGAGUAGUC
This 460-nucleotide ribosomal RNA is filed under the name uncultured bacterium. RNAcentral's name for it is "partial 16S ribosomal RNA". It matches the Rfam family "Bacterial small subunit ribosomal RNA", at positions 338 to 795 of the family's 1533-position model. The record is from RNAcentral.